CCGCGUGAGUGAUGAAGGUCUUCGGAUCGUAAAACUCUGUUAUCAGGGAAGAACAAGUAUCGGAGUAACUGCCGGUACCUUGACGGUACCUGACCAGAAAGCCACGGCUAACUACGUGCCAGCAGCCGCGGUAAUACGUAGGUGGCAAGCGUUGUCCGGAAUUAUUGGGCGUAAAGCGCGCGCAGGCGGUCUCUUAAGUCUGAUGUGAAAUCUCGUGGCUCAACCACGAACGGUCAUUGGAAACUGGGGGACUUGAGUGCAGAAGAGAAGAGCGGAAUUCCACGUGUAGCGGUGAAAUGCGUAGAGAUGUGGAGGAACACCAGUGGCGAAGGCGGCUCUUUGGUCUGUAACUGACGCUGAGGCGCGAAAGCGUGGGGAGCGAACAGGAUUAGAUACCCUGGUAGUCCACGCCGUAAACGAUGAGUGCUAAGUGUUAGAGGGUUUCCGCCCUUUAGUGCUGCAGCAAACGCAUUAAGCACUCCGCCUGGGGAGUACGGCCGCAAGGCUGAAACUCAAAGGAAUUGACGGGGGCCCGCACAAGCGGUGGAGCAUGUGGUUUAAUUCGAAGCAACGCGAAGAACCUUACCAGGUCUUGACAUCCCGCUGACCGCUCUGGAGACAGAGCUUUCCCUUCGGGGACAGCGGUGACAGGUGGUGCAUGGUUGUCGUCAGCUCGUGUCGUGAGAUGUUGGGUUAAGUCCCGCAACGAGCGCAACCCUUG
RNAcentral lists this ribosomal RNA (721 nucleotides) under uncultured Bacillus sp. RNAcentral describes it as "bacterial SSU rRNA". It matches the Rfam family "Bacterial small subunit ribosomal RNA", at positions 397 to 1107 of the family's 1533-position model. The record is from RNAcentral. Lineage: Bacteria; Bacillati; Bacillota; Bacilli; Caryophanales; Bacillaceae.